Non-coding RNA from Choloepus didactylus (southern two-toed sloth), 372 nucleotides. NCBI's taxonomy places the organism in Eukaryota, Metazoa, Chordata, Mammalia, Pilosa, Megalonychidae. The record is from the annotation of a RefSeq genome assembly.
AUGGCCUGGACACCACUCGGCCACCUCACCCUCUUCAUUCACUGCACAGGGUCCCUGUCCCAGCCUGUGCUGACUCACCUGCCCUCUACAUCUGCCUCCCUGGGAGCCCCAGCUAAGCUCCCCUGCACCCUGAGCAGUGAAUACAGCAGCUACUGGAUUGAGUGGUACCAGCAGAGGCCAGGGAAGGGGCCCCAGUAUGCAAUGUACAUGAAGAGUGAUGGAAGCCAUAGCAAGGGUGAUGGGAUCACUGAUCACUUCUCAGGCUCCAGCUCUGGAGCCAACCACUACUUAACCAUCAGCGAACUCCAACCUGAGGAUGGGGCUGCCUAUUUUUGUGGGGCACAUCAUGGCAGUGAGAGCAGAUGUGUGUAA